GAUGAACGCUGGCGGCGUGCUUAACACAUGCAAGUCGAACGAUGAAGCCCAGCUUGCUGGGUGGUUUAGUGGCGAACGGGUGAGUAACACGUGAGUAACUUGCCCUUAACUCUGGGAUAAGCAUGGGCAACUGGGUCUAAUACCGGCUAGGAACGUUCACCGCAUGGUGGGUGUUGGAAAGAUUUAUCGGUUUUGGAUGGACUCGCGGCCUAUCAGCUUGUUGGUGAGGGAAUGGCACACCAAGGCGACGACGGGUAGCCGGCCUGAGAGGGUGACCGGCCACACUGGGACUGAGACACGGCCCAGACUCCUACGGGAGGCAGCAGUGGGGAAUAUUGCACAAUGGGGGCAAGCCUGAUGCAGCGACGCCGCGUGAGGGAUGACGGCCUUCUGGUUGUAAACCUCUUUCAGUAGGGAAGAAGCGAAAGUGACGGUACCUGCAGAAGAAGCACCGGCUAACUACGUG
RNAcentral lists this ribosomal RNA (466 nucleotides) under uncultured bacterium. Its description in RNAcentral is "partial 16S ribosomal RNA". It matches the Rfam family "Bacterial small subunit ribosomal RNA", at positions 28 to 507 of the family's 1533-position model. The record is from RNAcentral.